GAAGAAAUGGCUGAGCGGUUUAAAGCGGCAGAUUGUAAAUCUGUUGAGUUUUCUCAUCGAAGGUUCGAAUCCUUCUUUCUUUA
RNAcentral lists this transfer RNA (83 nucleotides) under Didymosphenia geminata (rock snot). RNAcentral's name for it is "tRNA-Tyr". It matches the Rfam family "tRNA". Rfam says of the family: Transfer RNA (tRNA) molecules are approximately 80 nucleotides in length. Their secondary structure includes four short double-helical elements and three loops (D, anti-codon, and T loops). The record is from RNAcentral. Lineage: Eukaryota; Bacillariophyta; Bacillariophyceae; Cymbellales; Cymbellaceae.